CCUACGGGGGGCAGCAGUGGGGGAUAUUGCACAAUGGGGGAAACCCUGAUGCAGCGACGUCGCGUGAGUGAAGACGUAUUUCGGUAUGUAAAGCUCUAUCAGCAGGGAAGAAAAUGACAGUACCUGACCAAGAAGCCCCGGCUAACUACGUGCCAGAUGCCGCGGUAAUACGUAGGGGGCAAGCGUUAUCCGGAUUUACUGGGUGUAAAGGGAGCGUAGUCGGAUAUGUAAGUCUGGGGUGAAAGCCCGGGGCCCAACCCCGGGACUGCUUUGGAAACUGUGUAACUGGAGUGCAGGAGGGGUAGGCGGAAUUCGUGGUGUAGCGGUGAAAUGCGUAGAUAUCAGGAGGAACACCGGUGGCGAAGGCGGCCUGCUGGACUGAAACUGACGUUGAGGCUCGAAAGCGUGGGGAGCAAACAGGAUUAGAUACCCGAGUAGUC
Molecule: ribosomal RNA, 440 nt
Filed under: uncultured bacterium
Lineage: Bacteria
Description: partial 16S ribosomal RNA
Rfam family: Bacterial small subunit ribosomal RNA
Source: RNAcentral